AUGAGCUCAGGUGGUGCGUUUGGUGGAAACAGGGGUCUCCGUCCUGUGCCUCCGGAAAAGGGAGUUUUCCCAUUGGAUCACAUGCAUUUGUGUGACCUGGACAAGAAAGAAUAUCUCAAUUGUUUAAAAACUGCUGGAAGCAAGUCUGAAAUAUGCAGAGAAUUCUCAAAAAAAUAUUUGCUAUGUCGUAUGGAAAAGAACUUGAUGGCAAAACAAGAUUUGGCAGAACUUGGUUUUAAGGGAAGUAAUGCAGAAACUCCUGGAGGGAAAAUUCCUGAGAGGAUUGGGGAUCAAGACCAAUGA
This is a non-coding RNA of Vicia faba (fava bean), 303 nucleotides long. The record is from the annotation of a GenBank genome assembly. Lineage: Eukaryota; Viridiplantae; Streptophyta; Magnoliopsida; Fabales; Fabaceae.